AGAGCAAGGUGUAGCCAAGGACAGACUUGCCGGCAAGAACGGCAAAUAAUCACGCAUGAUGUCUGUCUGUCUGUAUGUACAUACAUAUGCCGGCAAACGUCAACCGCCGCCGGCAAGUCAUCCUUGGCUGCAUCUCCUACUCUCU
Molecule: non-coding RNA, 145 nt
Organism: Setaria italica (foxtail millet)
Lineage: Eukaryota; Viridiplantae; Streptophyta; Magnoliopsida; Poales; Poaceae
Source: Rfam